This is a non-coding RNA of Linepithema humile (Argentine ant), 1158 nucleotides long. Lineage: Eukaryota; Metazoa; Arthropoda; Insecta; Hymenoptera; Formicidae. The record is from RefSeq and is a predicted model, not a curated record.
UUGACUAGUUCAAGCGCGUCGCAAAGUCAAAGUCGAAUUACGGUCGCUGUGUUCUCUUUUCUGUUCUGGAUUCCACGGUACAAACAAGUAGUAAGAGUAUCGAAUCUAGCGAUGUGCGAUUGUCUCAGUAUAUUAAUUGAUUUACCAUUUUAUACAUUUUGCGAGCAUCAUGAUUGCCGUUCAGCAUCGGAAAUAUCGAAGAACAACGAGAAACGUCGAGUGGAGGAACCACCGCUGUGGGGAAUCGAAUGAGAUAAGUGAUUGCGUUUGCCUACGAGAUUUUUAUAGGUUAUUCGCGCGGAUUGACUAUGAUGCGGCAACUUUGCUCUGCGAGUUUUUGCGCUGAGAGCGCGUCGCGUAUAAUAAAUCGAAAGUACCGAAUGAAUCUACCGGAUAUUGUUUCAGUUUGUUCGUAUUAAUCCGCUCAAUCGUGAUUUUCGAUGUUCGUGAUCGAUGUCGAUCGUGUAUCGUCGGAUUGCUGUUUUAAAUUGAAAAAUUUUAUAUAUGUAUUUUGCAUUGUUUGGAAGUGUACCGAGGACGCGUUGUGCGCGAUAAGUCGGGAGUGUCGAGAAGUUUACGGGCGAUUGUUCUUAGUGUAUUAAUUAACCCGCUUGAUCGUAAUUAUCGCUUAAUCGAUGUCGGUCGCUUUAGUCGGAUCAAAAAGUGUAUCUCUUGUAUCAUUUUAUUCUGCGCGUUUCGUGUUAUUCGGGAGUGUGAACGAGAAAAAUGUGUAUAUUGUCAGUGCAUCAAGGAACGAGCAUCAGCAUCGACGAUCAAGCAUCAGACGAUCCGUCGAGGGAGAUAAUGCUGCUCAUCUACGAGAUCCAAGGUAAAUCUUUGUAUUGCCAUCGGUGAUAUCGCAAGUGUAUAAUAUUUGUUUUGUCGCAUUAUAAUAUCAUAGAAUGCCGGGAGUGUCGAUAGUUUUGUGCGAGUACGAAACGCCGUAUUCUAGGGAAUCGUAAGACGAACGCAUUCGGUUGAAUGAUAUGAUUAAUAUUGGACACGAUUUUUUCUCGACUUUGGGCUUGGCUCGGGGGAGGGAAGGAUUGCUUUUUAUCAUGGGAUCCUUCAGUGUCACACGGAAAAAAGUAGUGUCAAAUCAAAGCUUAUAUACUUAAAUUAACGCGUUCAUUGUUUCGUAUAUACGCAACAAUUAAU